RNAcentral lists this ribosomal RNA (482 nucleotides) under uncultured bacterium. RNAcentral describes it as "partial 16S ribosomal RNA". It matches the Rfam family "Bacterial small subunit ribosomal RNA", at positions 30 to 507 of the family's 1533-position model. The record is from RNAcentral.
AUUGAACGCUGGCGGCAUGCCUUACACAUGCAAGUCGAACGGUAACAGGUCUUCGGAUGCUGACGAGUGGCGAACGGGUGAGUAAUACAUCGGAACGUGCCCAGACGUGGGGGAUAACGAGGCGAAAGCUUUGCUAAUACCGCAUACGAUCUAAGGAUGAAAGCAGGGGACCGCAAGGCCUUGUGCGUUUGGAGCGGCCGAUGGCAGAUUAGGUAGUUGGUGGGAUAAAAGCUUACCAAGCCGACGAUCUGUAGCUGGUCUGAGAGGACGACCAGCCACACUGGGACUGAGACACGGCCCAGACUCCUACGGGAGGCAGCAGUGGGGAAUUUUGGACAAUGGGCGAAAGUCUGAUCCAGCAAUGCCGCGUGCAGGAUGAAGGCCUUCGGGUUGUAAACUGCUUUUGUACGGAACGAAAAGGCUCUGGCUAAUACCUGGGGCACAUGACGGUACCGUAAGAAUAAGCACCGGCUAACUACGUG